AGUGAACGCUGGCGGUAGGCCUAACACAUGCAAGUCGAACGGCAGCACAGUAAGAGCUUGCUCUUACGGGUGGCGAGUGGCGGACGGGUGAGGAAUACAUCGGAAUCUACUUUUUCGUGGGGGAUAACGUAGGGAAACUUACGCUAAUACCGCAUACGACCUACGGGUGAAAGCAGGGGAUCUUCGGACCUUGCGCGAUUGAAUGAGCCGAUGUCGGAUUAGCUAGUUGGCGGGGUAAAGGCCCACCAAGGCGACGAUCCGUAGCUGGUCUGAGAGGAUGAUCAGCGACACGGGAAGUGGGACACGGUCCAGACUCCUACGGGAGGCAGCAGUGGGGAAUAUUGGACAAUGGGCGCAAGCCUGAUCCAGCCAUACCGCGUGGGUGAAGAAGGCCUUCGGGGUGUAAAGCCCUUUUGUUGGGAAAGAAAAGCAGCAGGUUAAUACGCCGCUGUUCUGACGGUACCCAAAGAAUAAGCACCGGCUAACUUCGUG
RNAcentral lists this ribosomal RNA (492 nucleotides) under uncultured bacterium. RNAcentral describes it as "partial 16S ribosomal RNA". It matches the Rfam family "Bacterial small subunit ribosomal RNA", at positions 29 to 507 of the family's 1533-position model. The record is from RNAcentral.